GGAGAAUCGUACAGGUUUCGUAGGUGACCUGCGGAAAGGAUCAUUGUCGAAACCUGCAAAGCAGACCGCGAACACGUAACCAACGCAAUUCCCGGCCGGCGCGCUCCCCGUGACGCGCCGCCCGGGCUAACUAACCCCGGCGCGGAAUGCGCCAAGGAAAACCGAACGAAGCGACCGACCCCCGCGCCCCGUUCGCGGAGCGCGCGGGGGACCGGCCGUCUAUCUAAAUGUCAUAACGACUCUCGGCAACGGAUAUCUCGGCUCUCGCAUCGAUGAAGAACGUAGCGAAAUGCGAUACUUGGUGUGAAUUGCAGAAUCCCGUGAACCAUCGAGUCUUUGAACGCAAGUUGCGCCCGAAGCCGUCAGGCCGAGGGCACGUCUGCCUGGGCGUCACGCAUCGCGUCGCCCCCCUCCCCUCGCACAGCGAGGGCGAGGCGGGGCGGAUACUGGCCUCCCGUGCGCCCCGGCGCGCGGCUGGCCCAAAUGUGAUCCGCCGGCGACUCGUGUCGCGACGAGUGGUGGUUGAAUUUCUCAAUCUCGCAGCGUCGCGCCCCCGUGUCGUCCGGACGGGCAUCAAUGAACGACCCAACGGUGCUGCGCACCAUCGACCGCGACCCCAGGUCAGGCGGGAUCACCCGCUGAGUUUAAGCAUAUCAAAAGGCGGGAAGGAAAAAAUUUUCAA
RNAcentral lists this ribosomal RNA (682 nucleotides) under Nepeta deflersiana. RNAcentral describes it as "eukaryotic LSU rRNA". The stretch from base 238 to 393 matches the Rfam family "5.8S ribosomal RNA". Lineage: Eukaryota; Viridiplantae; Streptophyta; Magnoliopsida; Lamiales; Lamiaceae. The record is from RNAcentral.